ACACGACUACAUUAGAUACCCGUGUAGUCCCAGCCGUAAACUAUGCUCGCUAGGUGUCAGGGACGGUGCGACCGUUUCUGGUGCCGCAGGGAAGCCGUGAAGCGAGCCACCUGGGAAGUACGGUCGCAAGGCUGAAACUUAAAGGAAUUGGCGGGGGAGCACAACAACGGGUGGAGCUUGCGGUUUAAUUGGAUUCAACGCCGGAAAUCUUACCGGGACCGACAGCAACAUGAAGGCCAAGCUGAAGACUUUGCCGGAUUAGCUG
RNAcentral lists this ribosomal RNA (265 nucleotides) under uncultured archaeon. RNAcentral describes it as "partial 16S ribosomal RNA". It matches the Rfam family "Archaeal small subunit ribosomal RNA", at positions 719 to 982 of the family's 1478-position model. The record is from RNAcentral.